GCAAGUCGAGCGAGAAGCUAUCUUCGGAUAGUGGACAGCGGCGGACGGGUGAGUAAUGCGUGGGAAUAUGCCCUUUGGUACGGAAUAGCCCCUGGAAACGGGGAGUAAUACCGUAUGUACCCUACGGGGAAAAGAUUUAUCGCCAAAGGAUUAGCCCAUGUUGGAUUAGCUUGUUGGUGAGGUAAGAGCUCACCAAGGCGACGAUCUAUAGCUGGUCUGAGAGGAUGGAC
This 230-nucleotide ribosomal RNA is filed under the name uncultured bacterium. RNAcentral's name for it is "partial 16S ribosomal RNA". It matches the Rfam family "Bacterial small subunit ribosomal RNA", at positions 57 to 305 of the family's 1533-position model. The record is from RNAcentral.